RNAcentral lists this ribosomal RNA (413 nucleotides) under uncultured bacterium. Its description in RNAcentral is "bacterial SSU rRNA". It matches the Rfam family "Bacterial small subunit ribosomal RNA", at positions 29 to 490 of the family's 1533-position model. The record is from RNAcentral.
AACGAACGCUGGCGGCAGGCCUAACACAUGCAAGUCGAACGCACCGCAAGGUGAGUGGCGCACGGGUGAGUAACACGUGGGAAUGUACCCUUUGGUUCGGAAUAACGUUUGGAAACGAACGCUAAUACCGGAUGAGCCCUGUGGGGAAGAUUUAUCGCCAAAGGAGCAGCCCGCGUCUGAUUAGCUAGUUGGUGGGGUAAAGGCCUACCAAGGCGACGAUCAGUAGCUGGUCUGAGAGGAUGAUCAGCCACACUGGGACUGAGACACGGCCCAGACUCCUACGGGAGGCAGCAGUGGGGAAUAUUGGACAAUGGGCGGAAGCCUGAUCCAGCCAUGCCGCGUGAGUGAUGAAGGCCUUCGGGUUGUAAAGCUCUUUCGCACGCGACGAUGAUGACGGUAGGCGUGAGAAGAAG